ACAGCAGGUCUGGGUACAGCAGGUAAGUAUGUUUGCCUUCCAUACAGAGUAAACUGGAAGAAGCAGACAUACAAAGACAAUAAUACAUGUGAAUAUGUGUAAACACAACAGGAAAGAUUCAGACUGGCUUCUGCAGAAUGAAGCAAUAGUAAAUAAUACUGCAUCAUGGCUCAGAAAAGGAAAGGAGAUGAAGUGUUUCAGUGAAAGUCAAAAUGAUGUACACACAUUUAUUCCCUCAUCUGGGAUGCACUGAGACAACACAGAAAAAAGCAUCUCUUAUGGCAGCCUCCCUGAGCAACAACUCCAUACCCACAGCACCAUCAGUAGACCUGGACUGUCACGCUGGAGGAUUUGAAUACUCCUGAGAACUCUGUUAUUAUUCUCACCAAGGCUUAGAAAAGUAAUUCCAAAA
Cygnus olor (mute swan) is the source of this 412-nucleotide long non-coding RNA. RefSeq lists it as uncharacterized. NCBI's taxonomy places the organism in Eukaryota, Metazoa, Chordata, Aves, Anseriformes, Anatidae. The transcript is spliced from 3 exons. The record is from RefSeq and is a predicted model, not a curated record.